CCUGCCUUGAUGAUAGUGGACUGAACCUCUGAACCUGACAAGAUGGAGAACCAGGCCAUCUUCUCUGUCCCUAAUGAACCAUUUUGGGAGGAAACUAUGGAACUGUCCUAACUGUCUGUAACUAGGGUGACAGAGCAUGAGCCUGAAAAAAGGAAAAGAAAAAAAAGAGAAAGUGUUGCUCUCGUUCCAGCAAACGCACAUUGAGCUGGUUUGAAUGGCUAUCCUGCGAGCAUUGUCAUCAGCAGUCUCCUCACGUUCUUUGGUUUCGAUGUGAAUUACUUUUGAAGGAAGGCAUAUAUGCAAGUCAUCUGACCCAGGUUGUACGCGGGCUCCGCAGCAUAUGGCUGGGGGAAAGAACAUCGCAUCUUUUGUUCGAGCUGGGGACUGAACCCAGGG
Molecule: small RNA, 396 nt
Filed under: Rattus norvegicus (Norway rat)
Lineage: Eukaryota; Metazoa; Chordata; Mammalia; Rodentia; Muridae
Description: uncharacterized LOC108351794
Source: RNAcentral